This 392-nucleotide ribosomal RNA is filed under the name uncultured bacterium. RNAcentral's name for it is "partial 16S ribosomal RNA". It matches the Rfam family "Bacterial small subunit ribosomal RNA", at positions 523 to 918 of the family's 1533-position model. The record is from RNAcentral.
AUACGGAGGAUCUGAGCGUUAUCCGGAUUUAUUGGGUUUAAAGGGUGCGCAGGCGGCCAUUUAAGUCAGCGGUUAAAUCGAGGGGCUCAACCCCAUUCUGCCGUUGAUACUGGGUGGCUUGAUUGCGGUCGAGGUUGGCGGAAUUCGUUGUGUAGCGGUGAAAUGCAUAGAUAUGACGAAGAACACCGAUUGCGUAGGCAGCUGACCAGACCGCAAAUGACGCUCAUGCACGAAAGUGCGGGGAUCGAACAGGCGUAGAUACCCUGGUAGUCCGCACAGUAAACGAUGAAUACUUGUUUUCGGCGAUAUAAUGUCGGAGGCAAAGCGAAAGCGAUAAGUAUUCCACCUGGGGAGUACGCCGGCAACGGUGAAACUCAAAGGAAUUGACGGGG